RNAcentral lists this long non-coding RNA (269 nucleotides) under Manihot esculenta (cassava). RNAcentral describes it as "long non-coding RNA (MESC_LNC013116)". The record is from RNAcentral. Lineage: Eukaryota; Viridiplantae; Streptophyta; Magnoliopsida; Malpighiales; Euphorbiaceae.
UCUUACAAUUCAUUAUCUCAAUUUACAAUACAUGUCCACACAACUCUAAUCUAUUACAAAAGCACAACCUUAACUCUUGAGACUUCCCGGACGACUUCAGACCUGCAACACUGGGGUUAGGGGAAAGGGGUGAGCUAAAAAGCCCAGUGAGUAGAAACAAAGAAAACAGUUCGUUAAUUAUAUACUUUCAUGAAAUGCGUCACAACACAAAUAAAUCAUAUCACGGAUUGGAACUAACCCCAAAACAUCCCUUCCAGUCUCAGUAUGCC